RNAcentral lists this ribosomal RNA (482 nucleotides) under uncultured bacterium. Its description in RNAcentral is "partial 16S ribosomal RNA". It matches the Rfam family "Bacterial small subunit ribosomal RNA", at positions 30 to 507 of the family's 1533-position model. The record is from RNAcentral.
AUUGAACGCUGGCGGCAUGCCUUACACAUGCAAGUCGAACGGUAACGGGCCUUCGGGUGCCGACGAGUGGCGAACGGGUGAGUAAUACAUCGGAACGUGCCCGAUCGUGGGGGAUAACGAGGCGAAAGCUUUGCUAAUACCGCAUACGAUCUACGGAUGAAAGCCGGGGACCGCAAGGCCUUGCGCGGACGGAGCGGCCGAUGGCAGAUUAGGUAGUUGGUGGGAUAAAAGCUUACCAAGCCGACGAUCUGUAGCUGGUCUGAGAGGAUGAUCAGCCACACUGGGACUGAGACACGGCCCAGACUCCUACGGGAGGCAGCAGUGGGGAAUUUUGGACAAUGGGCGCAAGCCUGAUCCAGCCAUGCCGCGUGCAGGAUGAAGGCCUUCGGGUUGUAAACUGCUUUUGUACGGAACGAAAAGCCUUCCUUUAAUACAGGAGGGUCAUGACGGUACCGUAAGAAUAAGCACCGGCUAACUACGUG